RNAcentral lists this long non-coding RNA (1349 nucleotides) under Gossypium barbadense (sea-island cotton). RNAcentral describes it as "long non-coding RNA (GBAR_LNC004172)". The record is from RNAcentral. Lineage: Eukaryota; Viridiplantae; Streptophyta; Magnoliopsida; Malvales; Malvaceae.
AAUUUUCAAAUGAUUCUAGGUUUCGUUUGAGUGUAAAAAGGCAACCCAGUUUCUCCAUUUCCACCAAUGAAUCACUCAUCCUCAUCACUAAAAUAAUUGCCUUUUCUUGUCAUCUUUCUUCUUCUCCUUUUCCUCCGCCAUCUCCUCCGCCGUCCCAUCCACCAGUGACGCCCAAUUCUCCUCUUCAAAUCCCUCUCCACCCUCUGAUUUUUCCUCUCCCGGAUCCCCACCGUCCUCCCUCUUCUCUCCACCGCCGCCACCUCUCCGCCCUUUCUUUGGCACCGGUCUCUCCCUUGGCCCCAACCAAUUCUUUGGACACUCAUAAGAUAAAUGCCAACCAACCCGACAUUCCUAACAUCUAGACUUAUCCUUAUAAACCCUUUUCUUAAAAAACUCCGGGGCUCGUCCAUUAUCUACAGCGACGGAAGCGCUGAGCAUUUUGCCGUUGAGUAUUUUCCCGUGCAUGACACUCUCCGCGGAUAGCGCGUCCUCGCGGAGAACGAACUGGACGAAGGCAACCCCCUUUGAAUUCCUUGUGGUGCAGUUUUUGAGGACUGUUACGCAGGCGAUUUUGCCGAAGGUAGAGAAGAAAGUGUGGAGGUCUUAGUUUGUGAGGGAGUAGUCAAGGUUGGAGACGUGAAGUGUUGAUUUCGAUGGGGCCAGACCACCGGAUCCGCCGCUGCCGCCAGUGGAUUUGGAGGUGGCUUGAAUGGGAUUAUAGGAGGAGGAUGACGGUGGGGCGACGGCGGAGGAGUAGCGGAAAUAAAAGGUUUCGUCUUCGUCACUAUGGCGUUUUUGGUGGUCUUCUUUUCAUUUUCUUUAAUUUGGAAAUUCUAAACGGGAAAGCUGUUAGUAUAUACUACUAAACUUGUUAAAAAUAUUAAUGUAUAUUUACCCUAUGGUCCUUAAACUUUAAGUCGCGUAUUAGUCAGAUCCAAAAUUCAAAAAUCUAUUUCCAAGGAAGUCUAAUAAUACGCGACUUCCUUCCAGCACAUGAAUCAGUGGCUAAUUGAAAAGCCAAAAUCUAUCUGCAAUUUCUUGAACUCAGAAAGCUUGUGAAGGAUAUUUGCAUCCAUUCUCUUCAUUUUAUACCAUUAUGGUUAUAACUUUGCAGCAAUCUCCUCACCUGCAACAUGCUGUUGGAACUCAAGGGACAUCAAAGCAACAUGCUACCACGAUAAUACUUGAAAAAAGGAGAUUUUGAUGGGAAUUAUGAAGGGGGAAACUGGGUAUUUAUUCAAGCUAAGUCGAUGACCAAAUAUCUAACCAGAAAGUGGAGUUCCAUUCAUGAAGAAGACAAAAGGAGAAGAAGUGGAUAGAAGAGUGUGUAAGGAUUGAGUGUUCACCGC